UCAUCGUCAAAAUUGAAAGGUAUAGAUAUAUUUGAUGAGCAGAUCGGACAAGAAGCAGUGCUGCAGUAUUAUAAACGAUUGGAUAAUAAGUGGCUAAUCCAGAACUUUUUAUAAUACUUAUAAGGGGGUCCACUGACUGCCAUAAGCGUGAGGGGGCUUCCUCCUGUCAUGCUUCUAUGAUCCCUUUAUAAUCAAUCAUUUUUUUUUCCACGAAAAAGGGGGUAGACCGGAUUGCAUUGUUUAUGCAUGGAAAGGAGUUUUGGGCAAGAACAAGUGGUCAGGAGACAUCACCAAUAACAAAUCGGCUUUUUCAAAUUAAUUUUUUUUUGUGUUUAUUUUUUAAGUAUCUUUAAAAAAAAACCAAUUCUUACCAAUCAUUAAGUAAUUUGGGUUUGAUGAUUCUCUAUAUUUUGGGAGAUCUCAAAACCUGUUCAUGCUAUCUUAAUUAUAUGUAUAUCUGUAUAAAUAUGAUAUAUUCUUAGUUUAUAUUUUAAAAUCAAAUCGAUUUGUUUAGUUGCUUUCUUUCAUUUAAAUAAAUAGGAGAAAUUUUUUGGUAUAUUUAUUUUAAUUAUUUUUACCGAUUGAUAUUUAAUAUAUAAACUUAAAAUAUCAUCGAUGUAUAAAGUAAUCAUAAUAAUUGAGAAGUUUUUAAAUUUUCGCGGUUUUUCAAGUUGAGUUCCGAAUAUUUUCAUUCGGAUGCGCACGCAAGCACGCGCACCUCUUUUCAACAUCCGUUUAGAACAUUUUGAAAAUCAUCCUCGAGAAAUUAUCGCACCAGACUGAUGAACAAAAUUAAUAGUGAACAACUGCGUCUAAGGAAUAUAAAGACGAGAGAAGACUUUUCUGUAUAAACCUCUUGAUAUUAGCAUGCUGUUUUAUUCUGCCACAAAGAGACACCAGAAUCCAAAAUACCUGAGCAGUGUGCAAGACAUGUAAAGUGUGCCCCACAGAGAGCAGAAGGAGUUGCUAGGCCAAAAGAAUAAAUCUUAAAAACAAAAUAAAUUUUUCAUUUUAAAAA
Mytilus californianus (California mussel) is the source of this 1018-nucleotide long non-coding RNA. RefSeq lists it as uncharacterized. The record is from RefSeq and is a predicted model, not a curated record. Lineage: Eukaryota; Metazoa; Mollusca; Bivalvia; Mytilida; Mytilidae. The transcript is spliced from 2 exons.